Molecule: unclassified non-coding RNA, 329 nt
Filed under: soil metagenome
Description: partial contains 5.8S ribosomal RNA, internal transcribed spacer 2, and large subunit ribosomal RNA
Rfam family: 5.8S ribosomal RNA (bases 1-120)
Source: RNAcentral
GAUGAAGAACGUAGCGAAAUGCGAUAAGUAAUGUGAAUUGCAGAAUUCAGUGAAUCAUCGAAUCUUUGAACGCACAUUGCGCCCCUUGGUAUUCCGGGGGGCAUGCCUGUUCGAGCGUCAUUACAACCCUCAAGCUCUGCUUGGUCUUGGGCGUCACCGGUCUCCGGUGUGCCUUAAAAUCAGUGGCGGCGCCAUCUGGCUCUAAGCGUAGUACAUACUCUCGCUACAGACGUCCGGUGGAUGCUGGCCAGCAACCCCCAAUUUAUCAAGGUUGACCUCGGAUCAGGUAGGGAUACCCGCUGAACUUAAGCAUAUCAAUAAGCGGAGGA